This 491-nucleotide ribosomal RNA is filed under the name uncultured bacterium. RNAcentral's name for it is "bacterial SSU rRNA". It matches the Rfam family "Bacterial small subunit ribosomal RNA", at positions 21 to 507 of the family's 1533-position model. The record is from RNAcentral.
GGCUCAGAUUGAACGCUGGCGGCAUGCUUUACACAUGCAAGUCGAACGGCAGCACGGACUUCGGUCUGGUGGCGAGUGGCGAACGGGUGAGUAAUACAUCGGAACGUGCCUAGUAGUGGGGGAUAACUACUCGAAAGAGUAGCUAAUACCGCAUGAUAUCUACGGAUGAAAGCAGGGGACCUUCGGGCCUUGUGCUACUAGAGCGGCUGAUGGCAGAUUAGGUAGUUGGUGGGGUAAAGGCUUACCAAGCCCGUGAUCUGUAGCUGGUCUGAGAGGACGACCAGCCACACUGGGACUGAGACACGGCCCAGACUCCUACGGGAGGCAGCAGUGGGGAAUUUUGGACAAUGGGCGAAAGCCUGAUCCAGCAAUGCCGCGUGCAGGAUGAAGGCCCUCGGGUUGUAAACUGCUUUUGUACGGAACGAAAAACCUGAGGCUAAUAUCCUCGGGUCAUGACGGUACCGUAAGAAUAAGCACCGGCUAACUACGUG